UCAGCGCUAAAGAGGAUCUCGCGCACAAACAAAAUUUUCAAUCGCCAGCGUUCAGCGAUUUGCAAACCGCGCGCUGCUAAGCAUUUUAACAACGAAAUCAGUUUAUGCAUGAAUUUGAAACGCGCACGUGGUGGCAUUGCGAGUCAUUCGAACACUGCGCCUUACGUUUGCGUGAUCGUUAAAUAGCAACAAGCAAAAAAAAAAAACAAAUAAAAAUAUAUAUAUAAAAAUAAAUAAAAGUUACAAGAUUGAAAACUAAAAAUUAAACGAGCAAAGAAAAGCUAUAACGAAUUUUCAUUCGAAUAGCGUGGAAUUUCGCAAAACAUGUACACAAAAAUGCAAUAGCAACAAGUGAAUCGAAUAGCAGACAUUUUAUUCCACUCAAAUUCUAAAGCAAGUGUCGAAGCGCAAACAAAAAAAAAAA
This is a long non-coding RNA of Rhagoletis pomonella (apple maggot), 424 nucleotides long. RefSeq lists it as uncharacterized. The transcript has 2 exons. The record is from RefSeq and is a predicted model, not a curated record. Lineage: Eukaryota; Metazoa; Arthropoda; Insecta; Diptera; Tephritidae.